UUUUUUUUUUUUUUUAAAUCUCUUUAGCUAUCAGGCUGACAAACCCAAAGUCAUAUCAUAUUCUCUAUCUUACACCUCAGACACGGUGAUAAAGAUCUGCAAGAAAAGGCAGUGGCUGUGUGAGCACAGUGAGUGAAUAAUGCAUUUCUUUAGAACUCUUAUGAUUACUCUUCACCAAAUCACUGCACUCUGUGACACAGGUCUGUGACCACAGCCUUCCCAAGCACAGGCUGCUAAAGAGCUCUCACUUGGACGAGGUAAGCACGCAAGAUUGAUUCGUGCGAUGUCUUCACACUGUGCUCAGUACUUCACAUUAUGCUUUCAGAUGCACGGUGCUCUGUGUUUUCCUACGGCGAGAUCACUUUCUGAAUGAGUAAGGGAAAAAGAAAACGUGCCAGCAUCUGUUCUGUGUGCUUCCAAAGGUGCACUUAACAUUGAUCGAACAGAUUUUUAAGGAAGGACAUCCAGUGCUUUUCCCAACCCUGUCAAAGCACUGAGGGAGGCCGCCGUGAGGCUCAGUCCAUACCACGUUAUAUUGAGGCACACAGUUCUGAGCACCAGGGUUUAUGCUGCGAAGGCUACAGCCUCUCAUGGCAGCAACUUAGAGGGCAAUGCUAUGAUUUUAAUAAAGCUGUCAGAUUAAGUGACUGCGUGGUUACACUGUGAUAUUAAUACAUGUUCUUAACUGUCAAUUAGUUAACUGGCUAAUAAAAAGAGCCCAGCUUAUAGGAUUUUACUAAUGAAUAUAAUGCUUUGUUUCUGGGCAAAACAUAUGCUUUGGAUAUAUAAUUAGAAAGGCCCCCCCGCCCCCCAUCGAGAGAGCAUGUGCAGCUGAAUAAAGGAGCUCAUUAUACCUGUGAGGGGUCAAAGUCUGUGGAUCUGUAGCUUAUGGUAUUACGACAGAUUACAAAAUCACUCCAUUAUGUUAGUCAAUCUGUUUCCAAGCACAAACUAGCGGGGAGCAGGGCACUAGAAACUCCCAAGCACGGCGCCCGGUGGCUUUUCCCAAAGGUCUUAUGAUAGGUCAGCUGCCAGUGGCAUCACCUCUGACAGCUCACAUGUCAGACCUCUGCUAUAUGACUUCUGUCUUUGUUAUUGCAGAGCCUCUUCACCGGCAAUCAAUGCCUGCUUCAGGUUGCAAAGAGCUCCCGGUAAGAGCUGAAACAAAUUUGAAAUCCAUGGGUAGCCAUCAUUUGUGCUAAUGAAAGAAAAAAGCGGAGCACUUAUGCUCCAUCUGACCUCCCUCAGGCUCCCUCCUUAAUAAAAAAAAGGAAAGAAGAGAAAAAACGAGUUUUUAAGUAGAGAGGGAAGAGAACAGCUGAGCAGCAACAGCUGGGAGAGAAAGCAUCGGGUUCAGCAUCAGUGCGUUUCGGGGUUUGAAAAGAAAGAAAAAGUAAUUCACAUGCAGGAUAAAGAGAUUUCAGACAUGAUAGACAUCCUAAGAAAUAUUUGACUUUCCUAAUCUUUCAGGGAAAUUAUCCUGCUGGAAAGUCUUAUUCGGUCAGUUCAGCAUAAAACUCCCUGGUACCAAGAAGAAAGAAAAUCCUCUUGCCUUGGAGAAACGUGGGACUCACCAGCACUGCUCUGGGCUGCAGCUCUGUGAGGCGCCAUGGAGGAAGGCUGCUCCCACCUGGGCUCUGCUGGGCUGGCGUGAAGGAGGGGAGCAGCACUCAAUGGGGAGCACAAAGGGAAGCUUCUCCCCUCCCAUGAACCCCGGGAGCUGUGCAGCUGUCCUGUUGCAGGCACACAGCUGCCAGGAACUAGGCCGUGCUGGACACCCAACUCUGUGCACCCCGUGUGCUCCCUUCUCCCUGGCCUUGUGGCUCCUUGGUGGUUCCCAGCCCGUUCAUUUGUCUCAUUUCUUUGCAGACUGCACAGCUCACAGAAGCUCCUCUCUAAUACCCGGAGGCAGGACCCAGACAUGGUAGAAGUCACCCCAUAGCCCCUGAGAUGAGUAGGGUGACAUUGUCUUAUGCUGGGUGAUGGCCCGGGCCAUGUACUCAGAUGUGUUUGGCUAGCAGCCUGGGAGUUCUCGACUUUUAUAAGUCUCAACAAAAGGCGUUGAGAAGAGCUUUUGAUACAGUUAUUUGAUCAGAGAUCAAACGUUUCACCGUUGCAUUUAUCCUUUUCAUGUUUCCAGUAUGUAAGUUACUUAAAAAAAAACACUUACCCUGCAGGUGUUUGGGCACGUGCUCUGAGAAAUCUCUCUUUGGGACAACCGCAGAAGAGAAAUGGCAAAGGCUUCAGAAAUAACGACCAGGGACUGGCGCUGGCCCCGUGUGGUGCCUCCACAGGGAAAAUUAGUGGCAAGCCAGCAUCUCGGCCAGCACUCGCCAGCCUUCUCUUUACAUGCCUGUACCCUUCAUCCAGACAGACAUCCUGAAAGCGUCUUCAGGAUAUCUUUUCAGUGGAGCUCUGUGAAUUCAGACUGCUCUUCCAAGCAGGCUUUCAGAGCGCAUCUCCACCUCCAGAAAAAGCCACCUUGAAUCUCUUGACUCUUCCUUUGUCAGAUCACUUUGGAUUUCCCAGUUCACAGAAGAGACACACACACGUUCCAGUCAGAAACACAACCUCAGCUCGAUAACCUACUCCAGCACACUGCAAACACUCUACUUUUGAUAUUUUUCUCAUUUCUGUGUUUGACUAAUGGCUCUCAAUUCAGCACGCUUCUACAGUACUUGACACCAAGACCCAGGAAAGCUGCUGAAGUAUACACGUGUAACUCAUCCGUCUUGCAAAGAAAAAGAAUGGUAACGUUGUAUUGCAAACAGCAGCCCUGGAAAAUCCCUAACAAUUUUUCUUAGCUACAGAGAACACACAAAUGUCCUAAUAACUACAACCUGCUUCUUAACCAACAAGAAGGGGGCUGUCUAAUGCAGUCUUUCCAUGACAGAGGGAAAGAACAAAACAGUACCUGAAACCCACUGACUUUAGAGACUUCCAUCUGAGGACUGCCCCUGGAGAAAGAAGACAGGUAUGCAGAGCUUGAGCUGAAAGCUACAGAGCUUACAGUCUUCAGAUUUUGCGGGGCAUUACACCUAGGCAGGUGUGUGUUUUAUACUUUGGCUAGCCACGAGUGACACAAGUAUUUUAUAUUUCCCUGCCCUUUUCUGUAGACUGCUUUGCAAGUCGCCUGUCUUGUACCCCACCUAUCCCAGGGCUUCUCUGCUCAAAGCCAAGACACCUGCACCUUGCAGUGCACACUACCCGUAGCAAGUUGACUGCUGCUCUUCCAAAUAAGUAAAUACGAAGUGAAUGAAGUCCAAGGGAAUAUUCUGAUUGGCAGUGGCUGUUCUGUCCGUCUUAGCCUAGAUCAGUUUGACAUAAGCCAUUUAUUUCAUGGUUAACCCCAGAAAAGUCCUGCAAGGAAUAGAAAUGCAUGCAUUAAUCCUGCUUACCGGUUUGGUUCCACCUUGGGCUGGAUGAAGGAGCCGCUGCAACCCAAACUCAAAUUUAUUGCUCCAAAUACUGUAAAGAAAACAACACUCCCUUGUGAUCCUCACACAAACUCUUUAUUACGGAGGGAAGAAAGAGACAACACUGUAAAGAGCUGAGCACUACAACGAAACAUAAAGCAGCAUUAAAGUUGCUCUGUGCCUAAUGCUGUGGUUUAAGCAGCUAAUCUUGUUUUGGUUGAAUGGCAUGUUCAUUACAGCAAAUAAAUCAGCAACGUGUGGGAUUAUUGAAGAGGAAAGACAUAUUAAACCAGUUUAGGGCAUCAUAUUGAUUUUUUUUUUUUCCAAGUGUCUGAUUUAGCUUGGCGUUUUUCAACAGUCAGUUCUAAUAAAUGCUUGUAGAGCACAGAUUAAGCAGGUGGGAAUGCUGCCCAGAAAGAGUAUUAUGAAUAACUUAAGGCACUGGUUUAAUUGCAGCAAUCCAUGAUACUUACUGCGCUGGCACCAGAGUGGAAUUUUCAGUAUUAAAAGUUAAACUUCAACCCAA
Long non-coding RNA from Gallus gallus (chicken), 3942 nucleotides. RefSeq lists it as uncharacterized. The record is from RefSeq and is a predicted model, not a curated record. NCBI's taxonomy places the organism in Eukaryota, Metazoa, Chordata, Aves, Galliformes, Phasianidae. The transcript has 2 exons.